Molecule: ribosomal RNA, 358 nt
Filed under: uncultured Archaeospora
Lineage: Eukaryota; Fungi; Glomeromycota; Glomeromycetes; Archaeosporales; Archaeosporaceae
Description: partial 28S ribosomal RNA
Source: RNAcentral
GAGAGUGAAAUAGUACGUGAAAUUGUUGAAAGGGAAACGCUUGAAGUCAGUCGUGCCGGCGUUGGAUUCAGCUUGCUUCGCGGAGCAGGCGUAUUUCCGCGCAUGGCAGGUCAGCGUCAGUUUUGCGCGGCGUGAAAAGGCUCGGGUAAGGUAGCUCUCUUCGGGGAGUGUUAUAGACCUGGGCAGAUGCGCUGCGCGGGACUGAGGAUUGCAGCGGACACCCCCUCGGGGGCGCGGCGACCGAACCCUGCUCGGCCACCCUCGUUCGAUAGCGUGCUAGCGGACGCGGGAGCGGCGGUGCACCGGAACAGGCAAGCCAGCGGUUCGCUAAGGAUGCUGACGUAAUGGCUUUAAACGA